GACGAACGCUGGCGGUGUGCUUCACACAUGCAAGUCGAACGAGGUAGCAAUACCUAGUGGCGGACGGGUGAGUAACGCGUGGGAAUCUGCCCAUAGGUGGGGGAUAACUAGCCGAAAGGUUAGCUAAUACCGCAUACGCCGAAAGGUAAAAGGAGUAAUCCGCCUUUGGAUGAGCCCGCGUCCGAUUAGCUAGUUGGUAGAGUAAAAGCCUACCAAGGCGACGAUCGGUAGCUGGUCUGAGAGGAUGAUCAGCCACAAUGGGACUGAGACACGGCCCAUACUCCUACGGGAGGCAGCAGUGGGGGAAUUUUACGCAAUGGGGGAAACCCUGACGUAGCGACACCGCGUGAAUGAAGAAGCCCUUUGGGGUGUAAAAUUCUGUCGGCUGGGAAGAAAAAAAAUAGACGGCACCAGCAAAGGAAAGGACAUCGGCGUAACUAACGUGCCAGCAGCCGCCGG
This 459-nucleotide ribosomal RNA is filed under the name uncultured bacterium. Its description in RNAcentral is "bacterial SSU rRNA". It matches the Rfam family "Bacterial small subunit ribosomal RNA", at positions 28 to 521 of the family's 1533-position model. The record is from RNAcentral.